This 466-nucleotide ribosomal RNA is filed under the name uncultured bacterium. RNAcentral describes it as "partial 16S ribosomal RNA". It matches the Rfam family "Bacterial small subunit ribosomal RNA", at positions 28 to 507 of the family's 1533-position model. The record is from RNAcentral.
GACGAACGCUGGCGGCGUGCUUAACACAUGCAAGUCGAACGGAAAGGUCCUGCUUGCAGGGCACUCGAGUGGCGAACGGGUGAGUAACACGUGGGUGAUCUGCCCUGCACUUCGGGAUAAGCCUGGGAAACUGGGUCUAAUACCGGAUAGGAGCCAUUUUUAGUGUGAUGGUUGGAAAGUUUUUUUCGGUGUAGGAUGAGCUCGCGGCCUAUCAGCUUGUUGGUGGGGUAAUGGCCUACCAAGGCGGCGACGGGUAGCCGGCCUGAGAGGGUGGACGGCCACAUUGGGACUGAGAUACGGCCCAGACUCCUACGGGAGGCAGCAGUGGGGAAUAUUGCACAAUGGGCGCAAGCCUGAUGCAGCGACGCCGCGUGGGGGAUGACGGCCUUCGGGUUGGAAACUCCUUUCGCUAGGGACGAAGCUUUUUGUGACGGUACCUAGAUAAGAAGCACCGGCUAACUACGUG